This 905-nucleotide ribosomal RNA is filed under the name uncultured bacterium. RNAcentral describes it as "bacterial SSU rRNA". It matches the Rfam family "Bacterial small subunit ribosomal RNA", at positions 89 to 991 of the family's 1533-position model. The record is from RNAcentral.
UGACGAGUGGCGGACGGGUGAGUAAUGCUUGGGAAUUUGCCUUUGCGCGGGGGAUAACCAUUGGAAACGAUGGCUAAUACCGCAUAAUGACUGAGGUCCAGAGGGGGCUACUUGUAGCUCUCACGUGAAGAGAAGCCCAAGUGAGAUUAGCUAGUUGGUGAGGUAAAGGCUCACCAAGGCGACGAUCUCUAGCUGUUCUGAGAGGAAGAUCAGCCACACUGGGACUGAGACACGGCCCAGACUCCUACGGGAGGCAGCAGUGGGGAAUAUUGCGCAAUGGGGGCAACCCUGACGCAGCCAUGCCGCGUGUGUGAAGAAGGCCUUCGGGUUGUAAAGCACUUUCAGUUAUGAGGAAAGGUGUGUAGUUAAUACCUGCAUACUGUGACGUUAAUAACAGAAGAAGCACCGGCUAACUCCGUGCCAGCAGCCGCGGUAAUACGGAGGGUGCGAGCGUUAAUCGGAAUUACUGGGCGUAAAGCGCACGCAGGCGGUUAAUUAAGCUAGAAGUGAAAGCCCUGCGCUCAACGUGGGAAGGCCUUUUAGAACUGGUUAACUAGAGUAUUGGAGAGGGGAGUGGAAUUCCAGGUGUAGCGGUGAAAUGCGUAGAUAUCUGGAGGAACACCGGUGGCGAAGGCGACUCUCUGGCCAAAUACUGACGCUCAUGUGCGAAAGUGUGGGUAGCGAACAGGAUUAGAUACCCUGGUAGUCCACACCGUAAACGAUGUCUACUAGCUGUGUGCGAAUGUAUAUUUGUGCGUAGCGCAGCCAACGCGAUAAGUAGACCGCCUGGGGAGUACGGCCGCAAGGUUAAGACUCAAAUGAAUUGACGGGGGCCCGCACAAGCGGUGGAGCAUGUGGUUUAAUUCGAUGCAACGCGAAGAACCUUACCUACACUUGACAUACCA